GUGGUUUUUAGACUUCAAAAUAUGUGCUGGUAGCCGAUAGGGUGUGUAAAACGACACAAGUCACCGGUAUGUUUUCUUUUUCCCCUUGAGCAACAUCGACGUUAAGACACAAGUAGUUCCGAAUUUUUUUUAUUGUAGUAAUUUCGUUUUUAUUUAACAAAUAUUGUUUGAUUAUGAACUAACUAGACUCAAGUAAACUGUGUAAUUAGUUUUUAUUUUCGUUUAUAUUUAGUGCUUCAUGCAUGUGCCGCA
RNAcentral lists this long non-coding RNA (252 nucleotides) under Sorghum bicolor (sorghum). RNAcentral's name for it is "long non-coding RNA (SBIC_LNC002516)". Lineage: Eukaryota; Viridiplantae; Streptophyta; Magnoliopsida; Poales; Poaceae. The record is from RNAcentral.